Long non-coding RNA from Bombus impatiens (common eastern bumble bee), 3722 nucleotides. RefSeq lists it as uncharacterized. Lineage: Eukaryota; Metazoa; Arthropoda; Insecta; Hymenoptera; Apidae. The record is from RefSeq and is a predicted model, not a curated record. The transcript is spliced from 3 exons.
UUUAACUUGUUGGAAAAAGCUUUGAAACUAUAGAAAUGGUUAAUAUGCAUGUAUGUAUAUUAUAAUAUUGUAUGUAUUUAUUUAUUUUAGUCUAGAAAUUGAACUUGGUUUUACAUAAAUUAUGAACAUAAAUCACAAGUAAGAUAUACAGAGUAAAUUAAAAUAUUAAUAGCACAGUAAGUUCAAUAAUCUCAAAUAUCGUAAACUUGAAAGAAACUGUAUUAAUUGAAGGAGCUGUAAUUUAAUUUAUAUUGUAACAAACGAUUCUCUUAUUAAACACUCAUAACGUUCGCUUUUCUUCAUUGCUGUGAUUAAGUGAUGCGGUUUAUUUAUCGAUUUAAAAUUAUAAAUAUCUUACUGCUAUUAGAGAGUAUAUCAUGAUACUCAAUCAUAUCAUCGAAUCAUCAAUCAAAUCAUAUCAUACUACAACAUAAUAAAAACAUUAUUUAUUAUGUAAGAUUAUAUAUGAUAAUACUGAUAUAAACGUAACGAACGUAUACAUAUAGUAAAUAUAUAUACUGGAAUAUAGUGAUGGAAAUUUUGCAAAAAAAUAUUUAUAUUUUUUGAAAAUGUCUAUUUCAAACUAACUACAAACAGCUCAUUUUUGGGUAACAAAUAUCCAUUUAUAGUGAAGCACUGUUCUAUGAAUUUCUGUGGUCUCUUACUGUCACACCAAAAAAACUCUGCCCUGUAGUAGAGUUGUAGAGCUCUUUGGAAGGACUUCCCAUGUGAGGUAAGGCUACUUCAUUCAUCUCUGUCAACCUAUGGUAACAAGGUAUGUCAUUAGUCCCUGUUUCAUUAUCAGAUAAUAACGAGUAACAUAGAACACAAUGUACAAAUAUAAAUACGUACAAAUGCGAAAAUUCUAUUAGAGCAGGAAUAUAUCGCAAUAUGUAUCUCCGUGUCUGUAAAUAAUGAUAAAUGAUAAUUGUUAUUAAUGUAUAAGGUGCUUCUAUCUUAUAUUUUAUUAUGGAAAGUAUUUUAUUAUUCAAUUUUGUUUGAUUUAUGCAUGCUUCUAAUUAGAUUUUGUCGUGGCGUAUCCAGUUCUAUAUAAAUUGUUCUAAAUAAAUUGAAAAUUUUAGGGUGAUUUGAUAAUUAUGUAAUAUAAUAAUGUUCCAUUUCUUAUAGGAGGGCAAUCUUAAAAUUUAGUACAUUGUUAAUUCAGUCUAUAGCAUAAGACUGUCCUUUUAUUUGGCACUAAACACAUAUUCUUCCACCUUUCUCAUAACUUUAAAGAUAAUUCGUCAGAAUAUUAAAAUAUUAUUUGUUUUAAGUUAUAUUACAUAUUUGACUUCUAAGAAACUUCUUUAAUCAUAUCUUUGGACCUGACAAGUUCUUCCCACUUUUAAUUAUUUUAUGUUAAAAUAUGCUGUUUGAAUCUUUUUAAGAUAAUUUACAGAAAUAUAUUUAUUAUAUUCUUUGCUUCUGACCUGUAAGCGAUAUAGUAAUUUAUGCAACGAAUUUUACAAAGACAACGCACGAUGUACGACAACGUGUUAUAUGCAUGAAGGAUUGCGACCUGUACUUCGAACCCAACACCCAUUUGCAAUCUACGAGAACAUCACGUGUAACACAACGGGUUCAGUUUAUAUCUGGAAGAGCCACGAAUUCGAACCACCCUUGAUACCCGUGGAACCCGGUUCCAGCGUAUCCGGUUACGAGAUUCCAGACUGCACGUGCCUAUUGUCGUCUGGUGCUUCACCUGACACGUGGCAAUUUUCAAUUCCCCGGUUCGUACGAUGUGGACUGCUUGACUUUUUCAUGAGAUACUUGACAGAGGAGGCAUUGUAUAUAAUACCUCGGCAUUAUAAGGAAGAAGAAGUGAUAGUUAUGCAAAAUAUGGGAAGAGAGUUAUGAAAAAGCCUUCGUUCAAAAGAUAUGUGGCAAGGACAAGGUAUAUGAAAAUGAAAGGAGUAAAGUACAAAGAAGUAAAAUACGAAGUAAAAUACAGGACUUCUUUUAUUGAAGAAGGGGCGAUGAUUGUGCAUGUAAGGGUACACUUCGCUGAUCUUGAUGAAAUUUAGGAUGCUCUGUGAUAAAAUCGAGUUCUUGAACAUCGAGGGUGGUUCGGUACUGGAGUCGGGAUAUAAAAGCGAAGGUGCAGUUUCUAGAUCCGAAAGAGUGGGUCAAGUGAUAUCGACCAUGCAGAAGCAGAAGAGAUAUAGAAAGAUUCGGUUUCGCGAUUCAUUCUGGGAGUAUCUUUGUUUAGCCUGAACAGCCAAUUGCUAUAUUUGCUUUUUGUCGUACUAUAGCGUGUCGUCUACCGGUCGAGACAGACCAACUAUAUUUGUCUAUGCUUUCUGUUGACCUAUAGCAAGCGUGGCAGCGACGCAAUUCGUUGCUCAACCAUUAAUAGCUUUUCCCGUAUUCAGCCUUUUUCAUCUUUGACGUCAGCAUUGGCCAUGUCUUGCUGGAUGAACUUGCACGAAGAAUGCAUUUUAUUUAAGACGACGAAUGAUUCGUCUCGAGUACACAAGUCAUGCGAAAGUCGUAUACGAAUCAGAACACAAAUCUAGAAUGUGAGAAAUGAUUUAUGUUCGUCAAUUAUCUAGAUACCGUUUUAAUUUAUAAACGGAUUCUGGCUUUACCAUACAAUUAGCGAUUGAUUCGUUCAAUCACGUUUCUUAAUUACUUGUCCAAAUCCGUGAUAAAUUAAUCUCGCGAAUGGAAAAUUUCUGUGAAAAUUUCGUGAGUAAAAUUCUUUGAACGAAUGUUUGAUCCCCAUAUAGUACAUCAAAGUUUUGUGAAAGAUUUAUAGUAAUGAUAGUAAUUAAGUUUUAAUAAUAAUUUUUUUUAACGGUUUUAAGAUAAUCAAGUCCUUAAACAAAAAAUGUUUUUACAUUUUAAUAAAAUUAUUUAUUCAAUGAAGAACACGUAAAUAGUCUUCGUAAAAGAAUGUUAUAGAAAGUAUUGCGAAUUAUAAAAUGUAUAAAUGUAACUUCUAGGGAAAUAGCAUAAAAUUACUCUAUUUAAGAACAAUUACGCUAUAUUAGGCAAUAACCCGAUUGAGUUUGUUAUAUUACUCCGUUUGUAGUCUUUCAAGAAGAUUUUAUAAAAGUCUCACAAUACAAAAGAAUUUUAAAUAUAGUACAGAUGUACGCAUUAUCUUCUUUCUCAAAUGAAAUCAUGAAAAAUAUUGAAUUUGUUGAACAUUUCAUAUACGAGCAUUAUUUUUUUCAGUAUUCAUUUAUUUCCAAUCGUGAUACACAGCUAGGUAUCUGUAUAAAUCAUAAAGAUUUUAAUAUUAAAAGCAAAUAUCGCAUUAAGAAAAGCGAGGCAAAACAUAAACUCUAUAAAUUUUAUCGAAACCAUCCUCUUUAGUAAAAUUCCAUCAUUUUUUUAAUAUAAUUGUGCUGAAUAAUACUAUACAUAGUAUACGUCAAUUCAUUCAUUAUUAUGCACAACAACGAUUACAAUCUAUAACGCAAGGUUUAUGCGUUUUAUAGUGUUUCGUUUGUGAGGUCAUACGCCUUUCCUCCUUCAUUGAUGCGAUGCUCGACCAUUACCUUCCUCCAGUUUACGCCUACGUGUACGCGCAGUCUCACCUGGAAGACCUGCACACAUCGCGGUAGAUCUCUAUCCCGUACAGCUGCUCAAUGGUACCUACGUUACCCACAUUUUUUACGUCAUGAAUAAUUGUGUCAAUAAAUAUUCACGAAUAUUUUAACGUAUUUGCUACAAAAUAAUUACUUCAAUAUAACAAAAUAUGUAAUUCCCCCAAG